This 26-nucleotide non-coding RNA is filed under the name Rattus norvegicus (Norway rat). Lineage: Eukaryota; Metazoa; Chordata; Mammalia; Rodentia; Muridae. The record is from RNAcentral.
UCAAUUGUAAGUGGAAGACUCAGCCA